GAUACCACUAUCGCCAUCUAUGAGUGAGAAGUCGGCAACUUUUUCAUCGAUCAUCAGUUGUACGCGCCCCACCACUGGUAGAUCUCUCUAGAAAAACUGUCUAGUCCACGCGCGCUUGAGAUAGCACAAAUUUAAUAUAAUUAUUCUGUUUUACUGUAAAUCUUUCCAAUAAACGUAUUUUAAUCGUCUAAUAAAAGGAAAUUAUUGAAGAGCACCCCGAAUACUGCACAAAAUUGAUCCUGCGGCCGGAUGACGAAGAGGAUUCUUCAAUCGUGAGAAGACCACGUCGAUGCGAAUACUAUACGUCGUGGACCUCCUAGUCAACGCUAUACGUCUACGUGUGAACCAGAUCAGCAGUUAAACGGUUAGGUUUCCUUCUGAAUAUCCUUCCCUCCCCAAUCGAAUUGUGUUAAAACUGUGUUAUUUGUGCUAAUUUCAGAAUCGGUUAGUGACGUGUCGGGUGAUUGCCGUUCCAGUCCCGCUUAAAUCACCCUUAUGACUUCAACCCGCUAACGCCUGGUCAUUUCCUUAUUGGCCGGCCGUUGACUGCUCCUGCUAGCACCGACGACGUAGCAGCUGCGACAUCUACGACUCCGGCGCUCAACCGAUAUCGACGCAUCGAGCAAAUUCGUUUACAUUUCUGGCAACGAUGGUCGAAAGAGUACAUAGCUGAGCUCCAGACGCGGACUAAAUGGAAGACGAAUAAAAACGAUAUUGCCAUGGACAGCAUGGUCCUUAUAAAGGAUGAUAACCAGCCGCCUCUGAAGUGGAAAUUGGGACGGAUCGUGAAGACUUAUCCUGGUGCGGACGGAGUUUCUCGUGUUGCUGACAUACGGACGGCUACAGGAAUAAUAAGAAGAUCGUUCUCCAAGAUCUGCCCGUUGCCGCUGCAGCCCGAGAGUUGAAUAAAUCCAGAAGACGUCAUACUUUGGAAGUCGGAGUCUUCCAAGGCCGGGGGCAUGUUUAUGAUACCACUAUCGCCAUCUAUGAGUGAGAAGUCGGCAACUUUUUCAUCGAUCAUCAGUUGUACGCGCCCCACCACUGGUAGAUCUCUCUAGAAAAACUGUCUAGUCCACGCGCGCUUGAGAUAGCACAAAUUUAAUAUAAUUAUUCUGUUUUACUGUAAAUCUUUCCAAUAAACGUAUUUUAAUCGUCUAAUAAAA
This is a long non-coding RNA of Plodia interpunctella (Indianmeal moth), 1163 nucleotides long. RefSeq lists it as uncharacterized. The transcript is spliced from 2 exons. Lineage: Eukaryota; Metazoa; Arthropoda; Insecta; Lepidoptera; Pyralidae. The record is from RefSeq and is a predicted model, not a curated record.